This 1071-nucleotide ribosomal RNA is filed under the name uncultured bacterium. RNAcentral's name for it is "bacterial SSU rRNA". It matches the Rfam family "Bacterial small subunit ribosomal RNA", at positions 338 to 1393 of the family's 1533-position model. The record is from RNAcentral.
CCUACGGGAGGCAGCAGUCGAGAAUUUUUGACAAUGGGGGAAACCCUGAUCGAGCGACGCCGCGUGGAGGAUGAAGGUCUUCGGAUUGUAAACUCCUGUCAUUGGGGAACAAGGUGCAUACGUUAACUGCGUGUGUAUUGAUAGUACCCGAAGAGGAAGGGACGGCUAACUCUGUGCCAGCAGCCGCGGUAAUACAGAGGUCCCAAGCGUUGUUCGGAUUCAUUGGGCGUAAAGGGUGCGUAGGCGGCGCGGUAAGUCGGGUGUGAAAUCUCGGAGCUUAACUCCGAAACUGCAUUCGAUACUGCCGUGCUUGAGGACUGGAGAGGAGACUGGAAUUUACGGUGUAGCGGUGAAAUGCGUAGAUAUCGUAAGGAAGACCAGUGGCGAAGGCGGGUCUCUGAACAGUUCCUGACGCUGAGGCACGAAGGCCAGGGGAGCAAACGGGAUUAGAUACCCCGGUAGUCCUGGCAGUAAACGGUGCACGUUUGGUGUGGGAGGAUUCGACCCCUUCUGCGCCGGAGCUAACGCGUUAGACGUGCCGCCUGGGGAGUACGGUCGCAAGAUUAAAACUCAAAGAAAUUGACGGGGGCCCGCACAAGCGGUGGAGUAUGUGGCUCAAUUCGAUGCAACGCGAAGGACCUUACCAGGCCUUGACAUGCAUCUCUAAGUUGGUGAAAGCCAGCGAGUCCCGCAAGGGACAAUUUGCACAGGUGCUGCAUGGCUGUCGUCAGCUCGUGUCGUGAGAUGUUGGGUUAAGUCCCGCAACGAGCGCAACCCCUGUGAACUGUUGCCACCGAGCCGUGAGGCUCAAGCACUCUGUUCAGACUGCCCCGCUUUAACGGGGAGGAAGGUGGGGACGACGUCAAGUCAGUAUGGCCCUUACGGCCUGGGCUGCACACGUACUACAAUGCCCAGCACAGAACGAUCCAAGACCGCAAGGUGGAGGAAAUCACUAAAACUGGGCCCAGUUCAGAUUGGAGUCUGCAACUCGACUCCAUGAAGCCGGAAUCGCUAGUAAUGGCGUAUCAGCUACGACGCCGUGAAUACGUUCCCGGGCCUUGUACACACCGC